This is a non-coding RNA of Potamilus streckersoni, 73 nucleotides long. The record is from the annotation of a GenBank genome assembly. NCBI's taxonomy places the organism in Eukaryota, Metazoa, Mollusca, Bivalvia, Unionida, Unionidae.
UCUAAUUUCUAGUGGUUAGAGUGUCCGCCUCAGAUGCGGAAGGUCCCGGGAUCUAAUCCCGGCCGCGUCACAU